AAGCCGCGGGGUUAAGUUUUCACGUUGAGUGGGCGGAGCGAUGUCAUGUAUGUUGUUUAGCACGAACGUUAUAAGGGUGCGGUUUGCGUCUCAUAAAAAUGGAAACACUCUCAAUAAACAUCACAUCAUAUAACACUUCAUAUAACAGCAAUAUGAACAUGCAGCCCCGUGAGAUGAUCUUAAUGAAUCCUGCUCCGUCUGCCAGCAUCGUGAAAUUGCUGCGAGGGUGCACAGAGUAUCAGGUGGACGUGUGCGUGCAGGCGGGGUCAGGAAGCAAACAGUUGAGUUUCAGAGCCAGUUUUGACAAACAAAGGCAGGGCGAGCAGGGAUGCUAAUGCACUGAGUCACGGGGUACACUUCCCCUGACACACCAGAGCAGGUACAGGAGGAGAACCGACCUUUGUCCCCUGGCUGGUGGCGGCGAGGAAUGCGUGGUGAUGUCAGUCACUUGUGAAAAAGGUCACUGCGAAGAGGAAGCUCCUUCUCCUUCCUCACCCCUGGACCACAAUGGGACUUUAGUCUGAAGCGGAAGCGCAGGGAGAAGGAUGACAGCGAUGCAGUCAGCCUCUGCAGCUUCGACUUCAAGG
Molecule: long non-coding RNA, 587 nt
Organism: Pleuronectes platessa (European plaice)
Lineage: Eukaryota; Metazoa; Chordata; Actinopteri; Pleuronectiformes; Pleuronectidae
Exons: 3
Source: RefSeq, a predicted model, not a curated record